ACAAGUUACUUGUGUGUGUUAACAUAUGUGUACUGACACUUUCACAUAAAAAAAACACUUUUAUGAUUGUGAUUACUGUAUGCUAUUAACAGGUCCAGUGAUUUGGAUUAUGGGCAGCAGCUACAUUCGUCGUGGGGAAGAGAGGGCCAGAGAGACCAUGGGGGCCAAUCUUGGCCUAGCGGCCAAGGUUCACUGGUUUGGCUGGGGUGGACUUCGAAGGCACGGACUCCUUCCUUUCUUCAACCGGUCCCUUAGAGGAAGAGCAGCCCCGGAUAUCCUGCUGAUUCACUGCGGCGGGAACGACUUGGGAUGCAGGAAGAGCAUCGAUCUCGUCGCAGCGAUGAAGCAGGAUCUGCAACAUCUCCAUCGGCGUUUCCCUCAGAUGAUCAUCGUGCUGUCUGACAUCACCCAGAGACGUCGGUGGAGAUCGGGCCAUCCGGGGAAAAUUGACAAGUCCCGUAAAUGGGUGAACAGUGUCAUGGCUACCUUUGUCUUGGGAAUGCAGGGGGGUAUCGGGCAUCACCCUCAAAUUGAAUUUGACAAGUCUGAACUGUUUCUUAGGGAUGAAGUUCAUUUAUCCACUAGGGGUAAUGAUAUUUUUUUAAAUAAUUUAGCUGAAGGCUUGAGAGUCUUAAUCCAGUAGGGGUGAUACUGGAUUAAACCUCUCAACAUGUUUUAAACAUGAAACAGUUAAAGAAUGUUACAUUCUUUUGGGGUUGUGUAUGUGCAUUUUGUCUUUAGAUUAAUACAUCAUCACUUGGGUAGACACAAUAACACUGUUCAAUUGUCACUGCUCUUCCCCCCCCCACAAACACACACACCUUUCUCCCCUCCGUGCCAUUGAUGUAUCACCCUAGCCAUCCACCCCAUGGCCUCUCUCUUUUCUUCCCCACGACGAAUGUAGCUAGCUUGAGAGGAGAUUGUGGGUCAGCUGCCUUGUUCCCCCUUCCUGUGUGUUUGUGUCUCCCUUUUCCCCUCUGUGUCUGUCUGUGCUGUUUGUCUCCACCUGGAAGUGGCAGGGGGCGUGUCUAGAGAAACUAGGUCAAGAGGCGUGGCCAUUCAUCCCUGCUCUGUCCUGGCACAGCUGAUGCACAUUCCAUGAUUCACACCUGCAGUAUUUAUACCCGGGCUGUUCACCUCUUCAGCGCUAGAUCGUUACAUGCUCCUACGUGAUCCUGCUGUUACCUGCUUCCUACCUGCCGUGCUGCCUGCCUCACGCCACUCAGACACAACCACCUGCUUCUCCUGGAUUCUACUCGGAACUUCUUCGGAUCUGCCACUGCCUGGUUCCCUCAAGCUGCAGUCCAUUCCCAGAAGACUACAAGCUCAGCCUUGAUUGUUCAUCUCCUCUGAGUAUUUAUGCCUAAUAAAUACUUGAACUGUU
Perca fluviatilis (European perch) is the source of this 1384-nucleotide long non-coding RNA. RefSeq lists it as uncharacterized. The transcript has 2 exons. Lineage: Eukaryota; Metazoa; Chordata; Actinopteri; Perciformes; Percidae. The record is from RefSeq and is a predicted model, not a curated record.